AAUAUCCACAGUAAAGUAUUUUUUACCUGAGUUUUUGCGGCGCCGGUUUGUAUCAAUCUCUUGGCGCAUUGCGCGUGAUGCACAAUAUGGAAACAAUAGCCGAAUAUAACCGAAAGUUGUGACCAAAGCACUUUCCCUCGCAAUCAGCUGAAAGUGCUUGUGAUAUUUGCCAGCUGAUUGCAUGCGACAACGUUUGGUCUGUAGUACGGUUAAGCUCGGGCAAGUGUUUUGUCGCAUGCGAAUCACUUCAGAAUAGUAAACACAAAACCGGAAAUACUAGCCGCCGUACUGAAAGUCGGGUUAAUAACACUUAAUAACACGACACGAGGACAAAAACUGCUGACAACAGGUAAAGUUGCCACUUCCUGCAACGACCAGUCGGGGAUGAUACAUCACGCACUCUACUUUGCAUCCCUUCAGAGCAUAAGCUCACAAUAGCUGAGUUGAGCGGAGCUUGUUACAUGGUUGAUGUUUGUUUAUUGGAUGGGUCGAUGCCAGGAUGAAACCCGGACUGCAAUCAGGGAGACAGCAGGACGCAGCUGGGCCCUGAGUGAGGUCAUUGGAUUGACUGAGGCAACGUGCCGCUGAGACACUAUGGGGUUGAUGGUGGGUGUAAGAGGACACAUUAUGGGGUCAAAGAUCAUCCGACAUGGUUGGCACUAUUGUCAUUACUAUCUGUGUCCGUCACUGUGAAUGCUAAUAAUAUCCUGGGUGUUACAACGAUGUAGUAAUCCAAGAUUGUCCAUUUAAUAUGAGCACACAACACUAUAAAGACAUGAAACCCAAAUGCUUCAUACUUUCAUGAACUUGAACAGAAAAUGUUGCACAGUAUAGUGUUAUGGAUGAGUCGGAGCAGAGGAAGGGAGAGGAGCAGAGGAAGGGAGACGAUAACUGGACUGACUGCGCUGAAGAGAUGGUCUUAAAUGUGGUGACCACUAAUACUGUAACCACAACCCAUCGUUUCCAUCCCCUAGAUUACACUAAAAGGUUUAAAGCUACAGUUUGGGAUUGGGGAAGCUUCAAUGGUAAUUUCCUAUAGGAUUCAACCAGACACACAUCAUCAACCGUAAUGAUCUUAAUGACUAUUAACUGGACUUAUGUAUACAGAACCAGUCAAACUUUUGCAAACCUGUCAUCAAGGCAAAGGGUUCAA
Oncorhynchus gorbuscha (pink salmon) is the source of this 1153-nucleotide long non-coding RNA. RefSeq lists it as uncharacterized. The record is from RefSeq and is a predicted model, not a curated record. The transcript is spliced from 3 exons. NCBI's taxonomy places the organism in Eukaryota, Metazoa, Chordata, Actinopteri, Salmoniformes, Salmonidae.